Oncorhynchus tshawytscha (Chinook salmon) is the source of this 652-nucleotide long non-coding RNA. The record is from Ensembl. NCBI's taxonomy places the organism in Eukaryota, Metazoa, Chordata, Actinopteri, Salmoniformes, Salmonidae.
GCUGUUUGUGUAGAUGCUGUUUGUCUCUGUAGGACAGUAGUUCAGGUGGCUGUUUGUCUUUGUAGGACAGUAGUUCAGGUGGCUGUUUGUCUUUGUAGGACAGUAGUUCAGGUGGCUGUUUGUGUAGAUGCUGUUUGUCUUUGUAGGACAGUAGUUCAGGUGGCUGUUUGUGUAGAUGCUGUUUGUCUUUGUAGGACAGUAGUUCAGGUGGUUGUUUGUGUAGAUGCUGUUUGUCUUUGUAGGACAGUAGUUCAGGUGGCUGUUUGUGUAGAUGCUGUUUGUCUUUGUAGGACAGUAGUUCAGGUGGCUGUUUGUCUUUGUAGGACAGUAGUUCAGGUGGCUGUUUGUCUUUGUAGGACAGUAGUUCAGGUGGCUGUUUGUCUUUGUAGGACAGUAGUUCAGGUGGCUGUUUGUCUUUGUAGGACAGUAGUUCAGGUGGCUGUUUGUCUUUGUAGGACAGUAGUUCAGGUGGCUGUGUGUCUUCGUAGGACAGUAGUUCAGGUGGCUGUUUGUGUAGAUGCUGUUUGUCUUUGUAGGACAGUAGUUCAGGUGGCUGCCCUUGCACUUAGUCUGCCUCCUGCCCCCCCAUCGUCAUGGUUACACCUUCCUGAAUACAAUGACUCCCAUACUUUGCUGAAACCUGUUCUGCCAG